Molecule: non-coding RNA, 786 nt
Filed under: Cyclopelta obscura
Lineage: Eukaryota; Metazoa; Arthropoda; Insecta; Hemiptera; Dinidoridae
Source: RNAcentral
AAAUUAUAUUAGUGAUUAAAUAAUGGGGAUGAUUGCAUGUAAAUUUUUGUGUGUUAUUUUUAUAUUUACUAAAAGUAUAUAUAAAUUUAUUGUUAAUUAUAUUCUCAGCUUUUAUUUUUGUAAAAUUUAAUUUUUUAAGAUAUAGCUCCUUUAAAUUUGAUUGACUAAAAUUGUGCCAGCAGUCGCGGUUAUACACUUAAUCAUAAUUAAUAUUUUUUCUUAUGUAUUAUUUUUAUUUAAUUGAUAAUAAUAACUAUUUGAUUUUGGGUAAAAUUUAAUUGUUAGUAUAUUAUUUGGUAAUUCAUUAUAUGAAAUUCUUUUUUAAACAAGGAUUAGAUACCCUUUUAUUUUGAAUGUAAAUUUUAUGUUUAGUAUUAUUAGUUGUUCUAUAAAUUAAAAGAAUUUGACGGUAAUUUGAUCAUUCUAGAGGAGCCUGUUCUUUAAUUGAUAAUCCACGAUAAAUUUUACCUUAAUUUAUUGUUUGUAUAUCUCUGUUUAUUUAUGAGUGUUUUAAUAGAAUAUUUUAUUCUCUUUUAUUAUUUAUAUAAUCUAUUUCAGGUCAAGGUGCAGCUAUAUUAAGGUUAGUAAUGGGCUACAUUUUAUUUUAUAAUAAUUUGGAUUUAAUUUAAUGUAUUUUUUUAAUGAAAUUGGAUUUAGUAGUAAUAAUUAUUAUUUUUUAUUUAUGAUAUAUGUUCUCGGUUAAGUACACAUCGCCCGUCGCUCUCAUAUUAAGAUGAGAUAAGUCGUAACAAAGUAGGUUUAUCGGAAGAUGAGCCUGGAAUUAUA